AUGGAGGAGGCAGAGAAGGGGGAGAUCCACGAGAGGAACACCAACUCGAGCCAUUCGGGGGCGACGGAGGAGGCGGCCGGUCUGCUCAUCGACGACCUCAUCCUCGAGAUCCUCUCCCGCCUCCCCGUCAGAUCCCUCCACCGCUUCAAGUGCGUCUCCGUGCCCUGGCGCCACCUCAUCGCCGACCCCGCCAACUGCAAGAAGCUCCCCCAGACCCUCGCUGGCUUCCUCUACUUCACCACCGACGACGGCGGGGAUCACCACCACUUCGCCAGCGUCUCCGGCGGCGCAGCCCCGUUCGACCCUUCCUUCCCUUGCCUGCAGCCUAAUAAGUACAAGGACAUGGCCCAGGUGGACGCCUGCAAUGGCCUCCUUCUCUACCGUGGCAGCAACAAGAAGAUGGCUUAUUGGAACUGGAACUGGGCAGAGGAUGAUUUCCGUUUUGUUGUGUGCAAUCCCGUCACCGGGAGGUGGGUGGAGCUGCCCCCUUCACCACAGACGCCGGAAAACAGAUUUAGCUGUACCGCAGGUCUGGCUUUUGAUCCAGUGGUCUCAUCCCAUUUCUACGUUCUUCAAUUCGAGCAGAUCUUUGAGGGAUCUUACAUCACAUCAGUGAACAUCUACUCGUCGAGGACAGGAGCCUGGACUCGCAGGGAUAGUGGGAUGGUUGAGAAAGUGAUACUCUGCUCCUUUAGUAAGUACGUCUUUGUUUGCGGUAUGAUGUACACGGUUGGCAGCCUCAACGACAAGCAUGAGUAUGUGCUGCUAGCGGUGGACAUGGAGGGGAAAGUGUGGAAGACUAUCCGCGUGCCGAACGGUCCAGGAAUUGGUGCAAUUGGAUUGUCGCAGGGGUGCUUACACUAUUCUGUAGAUUCCAUGGUUCGCAUCGAUGAUAACAAUGAAAGCCUAGUUUCUGAGAUAACACUCUGGUGCCUCAAGGAUCAUGACAGUGAAGAAUUUGUCCUGAAGCAUACCGCCAACACCAAUAAGCUUAUGAGCAUGACUGGGAAGAAGUACAGAGUGGUUGAGAUUCAUCCGCAUUGCGACACCAUUUUCCUUGUUUCAUGUGGAGGUGAUACCUUGGUGGAGUAUGAUAUGCAGCAUCAGAAAGUUGGAUGUAUCCUUAAUCUUGAGAAAGAUAGCAUACAAAAAUUUCUACCCUAUGUUCCUCUGUUCCAAAAAUCCUUAGCAGAGGUUGAUGAGCAGUAA
This 1209-nucleotide ribosomal RNA is filed under the name Triticum aestivum (bread wheat). RNAcentral describes it as "partial small subunit ribosomal RNA". The record is from RNAcentral. Lineage: Eukaryota; Viridiplantae; Streptophyta; Magnoliopsida; Poales; Poaceae.